Molecule: ribosomal RNA, 1242 nt
Filed under: metagenome
Description: bacterial LSU rRNA
Rfam family: Bacterial large subunit ribosomal RNA
Source: RNAcentral
UGAGUACGAGAUGCUACGGCAUCGAAGCAGUCUAUGUCAUACUUCCAAGAAAAGCUUGCAAUGUCAUAAACAAAUAAUGCCUGUACCAUAACCGACACAGGUGGGUAGGUAGAGUAUACUAAGGGGCGCGAGACAACUCUCUCUAAGGAACUCGGCAAAAUGACUCCGUAACUUCGGGAGAAGGAGUGCCUUAUUUUUAUAAGGUUGCAAUAACAAGAUCCAAGCAACUGUUUACCAAAAACACAGGUCUCCGCUAAGUCGUAAGACGAUGUAUGGGGGCUGACGCCUGCCCAGUGCCAGAAGGUUAAAGAAGUUGGUUAGCAUUAGCGAAGCUGAUAACUGAAGCCCUGGUGAACGGCGGCCGUAACAAUAACGGUCCUAAGGUAGCGAAAUUCCUUGUCGGGUAAGUUCCGACCCGCACGAAAGGCGUAAUGAUUUGGAUACUGUCUCGGAGAGGGGCUCGGUGAAAUAGACUUGUCUGUGAAGAUGCGGACUACCUGCACCUGGACAGAAAGACCCUAUGAAGCUUUACUGUAACUUGAGAUUGAAAUUGGACUUUAUCUGCGCAGUAUAGGUGGGAGACGUUGAAAAUAUUCUUGCGGGAAUAUUGGAGUCAUCAGUGAGAUACCACUCUUAUAAUGUUAGAUUUCUAACUUUGUAUCAUUAUCUGGUCAAAGAACAGUUUCAGGCGGGCAGUUUGACUGGGGCGGUCGCCUCCCAAACGGUAACGGAGGCGCACAAAGGUUUCCUCUGAACGUGUAGAAAUCGUAUCUAGAGUGUAAAGGCAUAAGGAAGCUUGACUGUGAGACCUACAAGUCGAGCAGGGACGAAAGUCGGUCUUAGUGAUCUGACGGUGCUGAGUGGAAAGGCCGUCACUCAACGGGUAAAAGUUACUCUAAGGAUAACAGGCUGAUCUCCCCCAAGAGUUCACAUCGACGGGGAGGUUUGGCACCUCGAUGUCGGCUCAUCGCAUCCUGGGGCGGUAGUACGUCCCAAGGGUUGGGCUGUUCGCCCAUGAAAGCGGUACGCGAGCUGGGUUCAGAACGUCGUGAGACAGUUCGGUCCAUAUCCGGUGUAGGCGUUAGAAUAUUGAGAGGAGCCUUCUUUAGUACGAGAGGACCGAGAAGGACAUACCUCUGGUGUACCAGUUAUCGUGCCAACGGUAAACGCUGGGUAGCCAUGUAUGGAGGAUAACCGCUGAAAGCAUCUAAGUGGGAAGCCCACCUCAAGAUAAGUAUUCUC